GUAGAGGUAGAGGAGGAAAUGUAGAGGAGGAGAUGUAGAGGAGGAGAUGUAGAGGUAGAGGAGGAGAUAUAGAGGAGGAGAUAUAGAGGAGGAGAUAUAGAGGAGGAGAUAUAGAGGAGGAGAUGUAGAGGAGGAGAUGUAGAGGAGGAGAUAUAGAGGAGGAGAUAUAGAGGAGGAGAUAUAGAGGAGGAGAUAUAGAGGAGGAGAUGUAGAGGAGGAGAUGUAGAGGAGGAGAUGUAGAGGAGGAGAUAUAGAGGAGGAGAUAUAGAGGAAGAGAUAUAAAGGUAGAGGAGGAGAAAUACAGGAGGAGAUAUAGAGGAGGAGAUGUAGAGGAGGAGAUGUAGAGGUAGAGGAGGAGAUAUAGAGGAGGAGAUGUAGAGGAGGAGAUGUAGAGGUAGAGGAGGAGAUAUAGAGGUAGAGGAGGAGAUGUAGAGGUAGAG
This 440-nucleotide long non-coding RNA is filed under the name Salmo salar (Atlantic salmon). RNAcentral's name for it is "lncRNA (ENSSSAG00000102317.1)". Lineage: Eukaryota; Metazoa; Chordata; Actinopteri; Salmoniformes; Salmonidae. The record is from RNAcentral.